CCAGAAAGGGACGGCUAANUACGUGCCAGCAGCCGCGGUAAUACGUAGGUCCCGAGCGUUNUCCGGAUUUAUUGGGCGUAAAGCGAGCGCAGGCGGUUAGAUAAGUNUGAAGUUAAAGGCUGUGGCUUAACCAUAGUACGCUUUGGAAACUGUUUAACUUGAGUGCAGAAGGGGAGAGUGGAAUUCCAUGUGUAGCGGUGAAAUGCGUAGAUAUAUGGAGGAACACCGGUGGCGAAAGCGGCUCUCUGGUCUGUAACUGACGCUGAGGCUCGAAAGCGUGGGGAGCGAACAGGAUUAGAUACCCUGGUAGUNCACGCCGUAAACGAUGAGUGCUAGGUGUUAGGCCCUUUCCGGGGCUUAGUGCCGCAGCUAACGCAUUAAGCACUCCGCCUGGGGAGUACGACCGCAAGGUUGAAACUCAAAGGAAUUGACGGGGGCCCGCACAAGCGGUGGAGCAUGUGGUUUAAUUCGAAGCAACGCGAAGAACCUUACCAGGUCUUGACAUCCCGAUGCCCGCUCUAGAGAUAGAGUUUUACUUCGGUACAUCGGUGACAGGUGGUGCAUGGUUGUCGUCAGCUCGUGUCGUGAGAUGUUGGGUUAAGUCCCGCAACGAGCGCAACCCUUAUUGUUAGUUGCCAUCAUUCAGUUGGGCACUCUAGCGAGACUGCCGGUAAUAAACCGGAGGAAGGAGGGGAUGACGUCAAAUCAUCAUGCCCCUUAUGACCUGGGCUACACACGUGCUACAAUGGCUGGUACAACGAGUCGCAAGUCGGUGACGGCAAGCUAAUCUCUUAAAGCCAGUCUCAGUUCGGAUUGUAGGCUGCAACUCGCCUACAUGAAGUCGGAAUCGCUAGUAAUCGCGGAUCAGCACGCCGCGGUGAAUACGUUCCCGGGCCUUGUACACACCGCCCGUCACACCACGAGAGUUUGUAACACCCGAAGUCGGUGAGGUANCCUUUUAGGAGCCA
This 968-nucleotide ribosomal RNA is filed under the name uncultured bacterium. RNAcentral's name for it is "bacterial SSU rRNA". It matches the Rfam family "Bacterial small subunit ribosomal RNA", at positions 483 to 1451 of the family's 1533-position model. The record is from RNAcentral.